RNAcentral lists this ribosomal RNA (253 nucleotides) under uncultured bacterium. RNAcentral's name for it is "partial 16S ribosomal RNA". It matches the Rfam family "Bacterial small subunit ribosomal RNA", at positions 524 to 776 of the family's 1533-position model. The record is from RNAcentral.
UACGUAGGGUGCAAGCGUUAUCCGGAAUUAUUGGGCGUAAAGAGUUCGUAGGCGGUCUGUCGCGUCGAAUGUGAAAACCCGGGGCUCAACCCCGGGCCUGCAUUCGAUACGGGCAGACUAGAGUUCGGUAGGGGAGUCUGGAAUUCCUGGUGUAGCGGUGAAAUGCGCAGAUAUCAGGAGGAACACCGGUGGCGAAGGCGGGACUCUGGGCCGAUACUGACGCUGAGGAGCGAAAGCGUGGGGAGCAAACAGG